Molecule: ribosomal RNA, 253 nt
Filed under: uncultured bacterium
Lineage: Bacteria
Description: partial 16S ribosomal RNA
Rfam family: Bacterial small subunit ribosomal RNA
Source: RNAcentral
UACGUAGGGGGCUAGCGUUGUCCGGAAUCAUUGGGCGUAAAGCGCGCGUAGGCGGCCAGAUUAGUCCGGUGUGAAAGUCAGAGGCUCAACCUUUGAAUGCCGCUGGAAACUGUCUGGCUUGAGUCCGGAAGGGGCGAGUGGAAUUCCUGGUGUAGCGGUGAAAUGCGCAGAUAUCAGGAGGAACACCGGUGGCGAAGGCGGGUCUCUGGGCCGAUACUGACGCUGAGGAGCGAAAGCGUGGGGAGCGAACAGG